This is a long non-coding RNA of Junco hyemalis (dark-eyed junco), 2056 nucleotides long. NCBI's taxonomy places the organism in Eukaryota, Metazoa, Chordata, Aves, Passeriformes, Passerellidae. The record is from Ensembl.
CACCUCGCUCUUCAUCUGACAGCAACCCACAGAAAUCACUCACAAAUCAGCACAAAGAGCCUUGAAAAUGAAUUUAUUGCACGUUUUUGCAGCUGAGCCAGGAUGCAGAGCAGCCCGAGCCUCUCCUGCAGCCCUGCACAGCCAGGGCUCACCUGCCAGGGGCCGCUAAUUGAGCAGUUAAUUGGGCAGUAAUUAAUGCUGGGGGUUAGAAACAAACAGUUCUGUGAAUUAGGGCUGAGCUGGAGGAGCAGGGCUGGGUCGAGCCUUCUGCUCACACUGCAGCUCCCAGCCCAGCCGGGCCAGGCCUGCUCUAACUCUGCAGUUAGGCCUGGUUUCAUUUUAAAUCCUCAUUUAAGGCCUGGUUUCAUUUUAAAUCCUCAUUUAAGGCCUGGUCAUUUGAGGCCUGGUUUAACUCCUGAUUUUAGGCCUCAUUUAAGGACUGGUUUAACUUCCACUCCUGGUUUAAGUCCUGAUUUUAGGCCUGAUUUAAAGACUGGUUUAAUUUAAACUCUUGAUUUAAUGCCUGGUUUAUCUAUUGAUUUAUCUCCUGGUUUAAGUCUGGACUUUAGGCCUGAUUUAACUCCUGGUUUAACACGUGGUUUAUCUCCUGGUUUAAGGCUUGAUUUAUUUCCUGGUUUAACGCCUGAUUUAACUCUUGCUUUAAGGCCUGGUUUAAUUUUAACUCCGGGUUUAAGGCCUGGUAUGAGGGCUGGUUUAAGGCUUGGUCUGGGCAGCUGGCAGAGCCCUGGGGCUGGACUGGGGUGGGAUGGCAGCUCCCAGGGUGGGAGGGCUGCAGCUCCUGCAUUUCCUGCAGCCCCUGCAUUUCCUGCAGCCCCUGCAUUUCCUGCAGCCCCUGCAUUUCUUGCAGCCCCUGCAUUUCCUGCAGCCCCUGCAUUUCCUGCAGCCCCCAGAGCCCCUGCAGCCCCCAGAGCCCCUGCAGCCCCCAGAGCCCCUGCAGCCCCCAGAGCCCCUGCAGCCCCAGCCCCUCACAGGGUGGGCAGGGAAGGUUCCCCCUCCCCAGCAGCUGGAGCAGGACAGUCCCUGCACAUUCCCUGAUGCCCAAUCCCAGCAGCUCUCCCACCCCUGCCAGGGCACACCCAGGGAUGGGAGAGCAGGGCCAGCCUGGCCUUGGCACCAGGGGCAAAGCUGGGCAAAGAGGGGGUGAGGCUGCCCUGGGCCAGCCUGAGCCCAGCUGGGAGGGCUGAGGGAUGGGAUGGGGAUGGGAUGGAGAUGGGAAUGGGGCUGGGAUGGGGAUGGAAAUGGGGCUGGGCUAAGGCGGGGAUGGGAUGGGAUGGGAUGGGAUGGGAUGGGAUGGGAUGGGAUGGGAUGGGGAUAGGGCUGGAAAUGGGGAUGGGGAUGGGAUAAGAUAAAGGCUGAGAUAAGGCUGAGAUAAGGCUGGGAUGGGGCUGGGAUGGGAACUGGGGCUCGUUCCAGAGCUGCCCUCUCCUGGCUCGAGGCUCCUGCCCAGCCCAGGGCUGAGGGGGCUCAGGCCGGGCUCAAAGCCCAGCCCAGGGGACAGAAGCAGCCUGGCUGCCCUGCACACCCAGGGACUGGGGCUGCUGGGGACAGGGAGGGACAUGGCUGGGGACAGGUGACAGGGACAAUCCCAGCUCCUGCUCAGCCCCUUGGAGAGGGAACUGCCCUGGGCAUGGGAGACCACGAGGAAAAGGGAGGAAAAGGGAGGAAAAGGGAGCUGGGUCCAGCUGUGCCUCUGCAGCCACCCCUUAAUUAAUGAGCUAAUUAAGCAUGCUCACACAGAACCACUGACGUUGGACAAAACCUUUAAAGCCACCAAAUCCAACCACUGCCACACUCAGCCUUGUGUCCCCAAGUGCCACCCGACCCAGGACACACAGGAGCUCUGAGCUUCACCAUUGAACAACGCUUUGUUUUUUUUUAGUUUUUUCCUUUUUUAAAGAAUUCCCAUGAGGGGAGGGGGGUCGGGGUCAGUAGUGUGAGUGCAGUGGAGGGGUGGCAGUGUCCCCAGGCUGUCCCCAGGUCACUGCAUGUAGGCGUAGCGCCAGUCCCCCAGCGGCACGUGCGUCUCCUUGAUGGC